GGACUACUAGGGUUUCUAAUCCCGUUCGCUCCCCUGGCUUUCGCGCCUCAGCGUCAGCAGAGAUCCAGCACGCCGCUUUCGCCGCCGGCGUUCCUUCCGAUAUCAACGCAUUUCACCGCUCCACCGGAAGUUCCGCGUGCCCCUACCUCCCUCCAGACCACCAGUAUCAAAAGCUGUUUUCCGGUUAAGCCGAAAGAUUUCACCCCUGACUUGAUGGCCCGCCUACGCGCCCUUUAAGCCCAGUGAUUCCGAACAACGUUCGCACGGUUUGUCUUACCGCGGCGGCUGGCAC
This 292-nucleotide ribosomal RNA is filed under the name uncultured bacterium. Its description in RNAcentral is "partial 16S ribosomal RNA". The record is from RNAcentral. RNAcentral also lists the same sequence under 2 other names.